RNAcentral lists this transfer RNA (64 nucleotides) under Trabala vishnou. RNAcentral's name for it is "tRNA-Ile". Lineage: Eukaryota; Metazoa; Arthropoda; Insecta; Lepidoptera; Lasiocampidae. The record is from RNAcentral.
AAUAAAGUGCCUGAUUAAAGGAAUAUUCUGAUAGGAUAGAUAAUGUAGUAUUCUACCUUUAUUA